This is a non-coding RNA of Pelobates cultripes (western spadefoot toad), 1964 nucleotides long. Lineage: Eukaryota; Metazoa; Chordata; Amphibia; Anura; Pelobatidae. The record is from the annotation of a GenBank genome assembly.
GAAUAAUUUAAUUUCAGACUUCUUUCAUACACAGGACCUGGGAGGCCCUACCUAGACCUAGACAUCUAGUAUUAAUUAUAGGACAUAUGGUCCUUGUUCAGAUAGAUUGAUAAAGGCCCACUGUUAUAACCUUUGACCCGCUAUUGCAAGCCAGACUCCCAUAUGUAUUAAGAAUGUAUUCAUUUAAGCAUUUAUAGUAAAAUCAUUUGUGUAAAUUAUAUUUUACCCCCAAGUAUUACCAUUUUUAUAAAUACACAAAAACAAGUCUUGUGCUCAAACUCCCACUACUCUUGGGUGGCAGCAACGACCAUAGCACACAUAGCAGCCCCAAUACAUAAAGUAAAAACCAAAGGGAAAAAAGUUAACCAUUUUUAUAAUGCAUGGCUUUAAUCAUAGAUUGGACAGAAUGGUUAUUAAGCCACAAGCUUUUUUACACAUUUUAAAGGUUUAAAUAACCUUAUCUUUAUGUGUACGCCUCCUAAUUUCAUACUUAGACAAAUUUUUACAUCAAGCCUGUGUUGCCACAACAGCAGUCACACACAUAAUAUCAUUGUACAUUUCCUAACAUGGCAAGUAGAGGGUGUGCACAAUUUUAUAAUAUGGAGCAGAAAUGGUAGGCAUAGUAUAGUUUUAAAGUAUAUGACAUAGGCACCUGCUUGGUCUAUAUAUGCUUACAGUUCUGGCAUGGUAACAAUAGAAAGAAAAAGUGAUGGCAGCUUAACAGAACUAAAACAUUGCAAAAUAUAACAGUUAAAGUGUUAAGAUUGUUUUUAACCUGCUAACCUAUGUAAAUACAAUGCACAAUUUUACAAUAGUAUGAAGAAUGGUUUUAUUAAAUCGUUUUCCUGGCACUGCAGGUCCCCUCCCACCCCCCAUCUCAUACUGCUGAAGUGGUGAAAACCCCUUCAGUGACUUACCUGAGACCACCAAUAUUUACAGUUGCAGGGUUAAGGGUAGUGGGAGUUGGCACCCAGACCACUGCAAUGGGCAGAAGUGGUCUGGGUGCCUGGAGUGUCCCUUUAAGCUAGAUAACUGAAGAAGCUGGCAUGAGGUCCCCGUCUACUAAGUGAUAAGUGAUUUACCAAUUAUCAACAAAACAGUUGUGAGGAGAUUGACUUUGCUGAUUAUAGGCAGAAUUAACCUUCAAAUUGCUCCUUCACAUCAAAAGAGAGAUACCUAGUCAACUGCAUAUCAUGAGAAGUAUGAUAUCAUAGUGUUGUAAAUAUACUGCAUAUAGUGGCCACUAGAUUGACAUAUAUGGUUGCAUUAAAACGAUGAAAACAAAAUUUUAAAAAAGGUCGGCAGCAGUGAGUUAAUGACAAGGAUGUCACUGGUGGGUGGUCUACUGUCCUACUUUUGUUAAACCUAAUUGUAGAAGGCAUGCAUCUAGCGAAGGUUUGACUUAAGAAGACUUAACUCUACUCCCUAUGCCAUGACACAGAUAACCCGAUUCCCUUGAUCCCUGCAUAUUGAAGGCCCAGUCAGACAACUCUGCUGGCCCCAGGUCUCUAAAUGGGCCCAUGUACGGAUCCCACUUCUACGGCUGCUCCUGGCGUCAUAAACGACAUUGCCCCUGGAGGCAGUGAAUUUGGCUUGAGGGCGCUGGUAAUUCCUCCAGUGAUGUGCGACUUGCACCGGGGGUGUUCCCCUCGUGGCCAUCAACUGCCUGGUACCUGGGCAAGCACGGUGCACUCAAGACUUCCACUUCUGUCUUCUCAGGCCCGUAUGCGCAGUGGUUGUCUUUGGAGCUGAGCCAGACUCAAGAUGCCGGUUUGCUGGAGGUGAGUAGUGUGAGUGAGUGCUCUGUUUCUUCUCCCCACCAUUGCCCAGUCGAUUGUUAAGCUUCGUCCUUAAAUUAAAAAAUAUUGCAUCCAGUCGCCUUGUAGUUAUCUCUAGCGGGCUUUAAAGGGUGGGUGUCUGCGGUGCGUCUGCCAUCUUAAUUAGGCAGCAUGGCAGGCCUCUUU